This 89-nucleotide ribosomal RNA is filed under the name Pseudomonas sp. T. The record is from RNAcentral. Lineage: Bacteria; Pseudomonadati; Pseudomonadota; Gammaproteobacteria; Pseudomonadales; Pseudomonadaceae.
CCUGAUCCCAUCCCGAACUCAGUAGUGAAACGACGCMUCGCCGAUGGUAGUGUGGAGUUUCUCCAUGUGAGAGUAGGUCAUCGUCAAGC